CUGCCCCCAGGAGGGGGAUAACGGUUGGAAACGACCGCUAAUACCCCAUAUGCCGAUAGGUGAAAUGAAUUUCGCCUGAGGAUGAGCCCGCGUCUGAUUAGCUAGUUGGUAAGGUAAAGGCUUACCAAGGCUUCGAUCAGUAGCUGGUCUGAGAGGAUGAUCAGCCACACUGGGACUGAGACACGGCCCAGACUCCUACGGGAGGCAGCAGUGGGGAAUUUUCCGCAAUGGGCGAAAGCCUGACGGAGCAACGCCGCGUGAGGGACGAAGGCCUCUGGGCUGUAAACCUCUUUUCUCAAGGAAGAAGAUAUGACGGUACUUGAGGAAUAAGCCACGGCUAAUUCCGUGCCAGCAGCCGCGGUAAUACGGGAGUGGCAAGCGUUAUCCGGAAUUAUUGGGCGUAAAGCGUCCGCAGGCGGCCUUUCAAGUCUGCUGUUAAAGCGUGGAGCUUAACUCCAUUAUGGCGGUGGAAACUGAUAGGCUUGAGUAUGGUAGGGGCAGAGGGAAUUCCCGGUGUAGCGGUGAAGUGCGUAGAUAUCGGGAAGAACACCAGUGGCGAAGGCGCUCUGCUGGGCCAUUACUGACGCUCAUGGACGAAAGCCAGGGGAGCGAAAGGGAUUAGAUACCCCUGUAGUCCUGGGCCGUAAACGAUGAACACUAGGUGUCGG
This 668-nucleotide ribosomal RNA is filed under the name uncultured Prochlorococcus sp. RNAcentral's name for it is "bacterial SSU rRNA". It matches the Rfam family "Bacterial small subunit ribosomal RNA", at positions 126 to 826 of the family's 1533-position model. The record is from RNAcentral. Lineage: Bacteria; Bacillati; Cyanobacteriota; Cyanophyceae; Synechococcales; Prochlorococcaceae.